GACCCUACGGGAGGCUGCAGUAGGGAAUAUUGGACAAUGGGCGAAAGCCUGACCCAGCCAUGCCGCGUGAUGGAUGAAGGCCCUCUGGGUUGUAAACAUCUUUUAUCAGGGAAGAAACAUCCUGUUUCUACAGGACUUGACGGUACCUGAUGAAUAAGCACCGGCUAACUCCGUGCCAGCAGCCGCGGUAAUACGGAGGGUGCAAGCGUUAUCCGGAUUUACUGGGUUUAAAGGGUGCGUAGGCGGGAAUAUAAGUCAGUGGUGAAAGCACCGGGCUCAACUCGGUAACUGCCAUUGAUACUGUUUUUCUUGAAUGCGAUUGAGGUAAGCGGAAUGUUGCAUGUAGCGGUGAAAUGCUUAGAUAUGUUACAGAACACCAAUUGUGAAGACAGCUUACUAAGUCGUGAUUGACGCUGAGGCACGAAAGCGUGGGGAGCAAACAGGAUUAGAUACCCGGGUAGUC
Molecule: ribosomal RNA, 463 nt
Filed under: uncultured Saprospirales bacterium
Lineage: Bacteria; Pseudomonadati; Bacteroidota; Saprospiria; Saprospirales
Description: bacterial SSU rRNA
Rfam family: Bacterial small subunit ribosomal RNA
Source: RNAcentral